This 424-nucleotide ribosomal RNA is filed under the name Verrucomicrobiota bacterium. RNAcentral's name for it is "Verrucomicrobia bacterium partial 16S ribosomal RNA". It matches the Rfam family "Bacterial small subunit ribosomal RNA", at positions 355 to 776 of the family's 1533-position model. Lineage: Bacteria; Pseudomonadati; Verrucomicrobiota. The record is from RNAcentral.
UGAGGAAUAUUGGUCAAUGGGCGAGAGCCUGAACCAGCCAAGUAGCGUGCAGGAUGACGGCCCUAUGGGUUGUAAACUGCUUUUAUAUGGGAAUAAAGUGAGGGACGUGUCCCUUAUUGCAUGUACCAUACGAAUAAGGACCGGCUAAUUCAGUGCCAGCAGCCGCGGUAAUACGGAAGGUCCAGGCGUUAUCCGGAUUUAUUGGGUUUAAAGGGAGCGUAGGCUGUUUGUUAAGCGUGUUGUGAAAUGUAGGAGCUCAACUUUUAGAUUGCAGCGCGAACUGGCAGACUUGAGUGCGCACAACGUAGGCGGAAUUCAUGGUGUAGCGGUGAAAUGCUUAGAUAUCAUGAAGAACUCCGAUUGCGAAGGCAGCUUACGGGAGCGCAACUGACGCUGAAGCUCGAAGGUGCGGGUAUCGAACAGG